GGCCACGUAGCUCAGUUGGUUAGAGCGAGGGAUUCAUAAACCCUAGGUCACUGGUUCGACUCCAGUCGUGGCCA
This 74-nucleotide transfer RNA is filed under the name Phycisphaerae bacterium. Its description in RNAcentral is "tRNA-Met". It matches the Rfam family "tRNA". From Rfam's summary of the family: Transfer RNA (tRNA) molecules are approximately 80 nucleotides in length. Their secondary structure includes four short double-helical elements and three loops (D, anti-codon, and T loops). Lineage: Bacteria; Pseudomonadati; Planctomycetota; Phycisphaerae. The record is from RNAcentral. RNAcentral also lists the same sequence under 1 other name.